UGUAGAAGUUCCUGUAAUAUCUUUAUAAACGUUUGAUGUUUUUUUACUAAAAUGCAUAAGAAAGACUAGGGACGUUGCACUUGAAGAUAGCUAGAGGUAAUGCUGCACAUGUAGUAAAAGUGAAAUUUCAAACCAAAUAAUAAUAAUAAUUUCACAAGGAACAACGUAAUCGUCACCAUAAAAAAAUCGAUUUUAUUCCAAACUUUCAUACCUUUUAGGAACCUGGAUAUUUUCCUUUAGCAGAUCUUAGGAGAUAAACUACAUAUGGCUUCUUUUAUUGAUGAAAUUAUUCUGGUGAGAAUUUAAGACUUUGGAUACAGUAUGGAGAAGACGAACUAUUCCCUACCCCGAACCAAAGGGAUUUAUUUGAGGAAUAUUUAGCUAAGCUUUCUAGGAAAUGUUUAUUCCAUAUAUGGAAAGUGUUAUAAAAUAUUUGAUACUUUUUGCUUGUUUUUUGCCAUCUUUAUAAAGACCAAGCGAUAUGUGAUGAGAAAAAUUACUAUAACAAACCAGCUACUUCUCAUAUGAUUAUCAUCUCUCGUCUCUCUCACAUUUUGUUAUACCUUGUUCAGAUUAAGACGGAAAAAAACAUCGUUCGAAACUUCUUACUUCACGCUAGUCAAAGGCUGCACACGUGAUAUAACCGGGUGCUGAGUGGGUGUUAUGAAUCAAAUCCUACUAGUCAAAACCAAUACGCGAGGCAUAACCGCGUGCUAUAUGAAUUAUAUGAAUCAAAUCCUGCUAGUCAAAGCCAGCACAGGAGAUAUAACCACGUGCUGACUGGGUGUUAUGAAUCAACUCCUGCUAGUCAAAGCCAGCACACGAGAUAUAACCACGUGCUGACUGGGUGUUAUGAAUCAACUCCUGCUAGUCAAAGCCAGCACACGAGAUAUAACCACAUGCUGACUGGGUGUUAUGAAUCAAAUCCUGCUAGUCAAAGCCAGCACACGAGAUAUAACCACAUGCUGACUGGGUGUUAUGAAUCAAAUCCUGCUAGUCAAAGCCAGCACACGAGAUAUAACCACAUGCUGACUGGGUGUUAUGAAUCAAAUCCUGCUAGUCAAAGCCAGCACAGGAGAUAUAACCGAGUGCUGAGUGGGUGUUGUGCAUCAAAUCCUGCUAGUGACAGCUAGUACACGAGACAUACCGCGUGCUGAAUGGGUGUUAUGCAUCCAAUCCUGCUAGUGACAGCUAGUACACGAGACAUACCGCGUGCUGGAUGAAUUUUUCGAACCAAACUACGUUAAAAACUGUUCAAAUAUGAGGUAUAAUGAUUUUUCCUUUUUGUGUUAGUGAGGUCAUAAGCCUGCUUAGAGUUGUUGGUUUUUUUGUAUCUUCCUCAUCUCGACGUUCAAAUUUGUUUUAAGUUCUUAUUUUUGUAAAUACUAACAGAUGAAAGAAUAAUUCAGUGUAAUAUUAAAUUCUGAAAUAAAAUAUAACACCUGGCUUUCCAUUCUAGUGUUGAGUGUUCUCAAUAUCUCAUACUAAUAAAUACUCGUUCGAUUUAGCAGUGUACAUUAUGAUAUCUGAAUACAAAGCUGCUGGCAUCACCGGAUAAACAAUGUGUUUGUUAAAUGUUAGCAAGAUGGAUCGAUAUAUGUCUCAUCAGACUAUAACUGAAAAAUGCACGUGAUAAACGAAAGCCAUGUCUUGAAAACACUGAAAUAUUCAUGAUUAUGAAGUUACAUUUAUAUUGUCUAAUUUAGUUAAUAUAUAAUGAAGAUGAAAGAUAAAUGAUAUAUUACCAAACGUUUUCAUUAUAUUUAUAAGAACUACCUAUUGGAAACUUAGUCACAUAUAAAUAUAUAUAUGUGUGUGUGUAUGUUAUAUAUCACGAGCUAAAAUGUUAACGAAUGUGAUAAAACUCGAUUUUAUCGGCGCAGAGAAGUUUCAACUUACAAAAACGAUCAUCAUUACAAAAAAUUGUAUGUACUUUUAUAUAAAAUUAUUUGUAAUGAUGGAUAUUUUUUAUACAAUCUUAAGUUCAGUUUCUCUGUUGUGCGUUGAGGGUUGUAUCGGAAAUAUUGUUGUAUUGUCGCAGAUGUAAUAUUGUUGUGUUGUGGUAGAACUAAAAUUGCUGUAAUGCUGCAGAACUAGUGUUGUUGAACUUCCCCAGAUCUAAUGUUGUUAUAUUAUAUAGAACAUUAUUGUUGUAAUGCUGCAUAACUAGUAUUGUUGCAUUGCUGUAAAACUAGAAUCGUUUUAAUGCUGCACAACUAGUGUUGUUGUACUGCUACAGAUCUAGUUAUAUUACAACAGAACAGUGUUGUUGUAACGCUGCAGAACUAAAACCGUUCCAUAUCUACGUUAUUAAAAUGUCAUGAUGUUCUGUUUUAGGUAACGAAAUGUAGAUAACUAUAUACAUAAUUUUUAUAAUUAUCGUCAUUGAUGAGAAAAAUAACGAUUCGAUGGCAUGAACUAAAAAUAUUUCUAUGUGUAUGAACUUCUUAAUAAAAUAAGCCUAAAAGUCACCAUAUAUGAACUUUCACCACUACUGCCAAAAUAACAUUAUUACUGGAUAAAAAUAUGAUGCAAAAUAAGAGGAUUCAAUAAACAUACCAAUGUUUUGUGCAGUGCAUCAUUAAUUGUAAUAAUUACUUAGAAUUACGUAUUAUUUAGUAAGGAUAUCGCAGUGUUGAUUUGUGUAAACGUCUUAAAAUAAACCCUUGUUUUCCGUAA
Molecule: long non-coding RNA, 2679 nt
Organism: Limulus polyphemus (Atlantic horseshoe crab)
Lineage: Eukaryota; Metazoa; Arthropoda; Merostomata; Xiphosura; Limulidae
Exons: 2
Source: RefSeq, a predicted model, not a curated record